Molecule: small RNA, 152 nt
Filed under: Enterobacter bugandensis
Lineage: Bacteria; Pseudomonadati; Pseudomonadota; Gammaproteobacteria; Enterobacterales; Enterobacteriaceae
Description: sroC RNA
Rfam family: sroC RNA
About the family: This family consists of a number of bacterial sroC RNA genes of around 160 bases in length. sroC is found in several Enterobacterial species. It base-pairs with GcvB.
Source: RNAcentral
ACUAAUUAGAACAACAGGGGCGGGAUCUCCUGCCCUCUCGAUUGUCGGGAAGCAUGGACAGACAUAUACGCUGAGUGGUCGUUCCCCACUAAGCGCGAAAAAAGAGCUUCUCACCAAUCUUCGAGGGUAGCGCUGCUACCCUCUUUUUUCUG